GGUUAAAAGUUUCAUGCCUUUCUACUAUUAAAAACUGGCAUGGUUGACGAAAUAACUAAACAGUUAUACAUAACUUGUCAAAUGUGCCUCAAAGACCAGCUUUUAAUAGUAAAAUUAGAUAGAAUUUUUAAUA
This 133-nucleotide microRNA precursor is filed under the name Gossypium hirsutum (cotton). Its description in RNAcentral is "MIR7502 microRNA precursor family". It matches the Rfam family "MIR7502 microRNA precursor family". Lineage: Eukaryota; Viridiplantae; Streptophyta; Magnoliopsida; Malvales; Malvaceae. The record is from Rfam by way of RNAcentral.